UCUCCGUUGGUGAACCAGCGGAGGGAUCAUUACAGAGUUUUUAACUCCCAAACCCAUGUGAACUUACCAUUGUUGCCUCGGCGGAGCCUACCCUGUAGCUACCCUGUAGGGUGGUUACCCUGUAGCGCCCCGCCGGUGGACCACACCAAAACUCUUGUUGUUACAGUGUCAUUCUGAAUUUAAAAACUUAAUCAGUUAAAACUUUCAACAACGGAUCUCUUGGUUCUGGCAUCGAUGAAGAACGCAGC
RNAcentral lists this unclassified non-coding RNA (248 nucleotides) under uncultured fungus. Its description in RNAcentral is "sequence contains ITS1, 5.8S rRNA gene". The stretch from base 200 to 248 matches the Rfam family "5.8S ribosomal RNA", at positions 1 to 49 of the family's 154-position model. Lineage: Eukaryota; Fungi. The record is from RNAcentral.